This 98-nucleotide transfer RNA is filed under the name Friedmanniomyces endolithicus. RNAcentral's name for it is "tRNA-Ala". It matches the Rfam family "tRNA". From Rfam's summary of the family: Transfer RNA (tRNA) molecules are approximately 80 nucleotides in length. Their secondary structure includes four short double-helical elements and three loops (D, anti-codon, and T loops). Lineage: Eukaryota; Fungi; Ascomycota; Dothideomycetes; Mycosphaerellales; Teratosphaeriaceae. The record is from RNAcentral.
GGGCUUGUGGUUUAGUGGUAUAAUUCCUCUUUAGCACCGCAUCUCGAAAGAGGCGUGAGGACUAGAGGCGGUCCCUGGUUCGAUUCCUGGCAGGUCCA